Molecule: ribosomal RNA, 258 nt
Filed under: uncultured bacterium
Lineage: Bacteria
Description: partial 16S ribosomal RNA
Rfam family: Bacterial small subunit ribosomal RNA
Source: RNAcentral
UACGGGGGGGGCAAGCGGUUGUUCGGAAUUACUGGGCGUAAAGGGACUCGUAGGCGGCCAACUAAGUCGGAUGUGAAGUCCCCAGGCCUUAACCUUGGGGAACUGCAUCCGAUACUGGAUGGCUUGAAUCCGGGAGAGGGAUGCAGAAUUCCAGGUGUAGCGGUGAAAUGCGUAGAUAUCUGGAGGAACACCGAUGGCGAAGGCAGGUCACUGGGCCGCAACUGACGCUGAGGAGCGAAAGCAUGGGGAGCGAACAGG